GACGAACGCUGGCGGCGUGCUUAACACAUGCAAGUCGAACGGAAAGGCCCUGCUUUUGUGGGGUGCUCGAGUGGCGAACGGGUGAGUAACACGUGAGUAACCUGCCCUUGACUUUGGGAUAACUUCAGGAAACUGGGGCUAAUACCGGAUAGGAGCUCCUGCUGCAUGGUGGGGGUUGGAAAGUUUCGGCGGUUGGGGAUGGACUCGCGGCUUAUCAGCUUGUUGGUGGGGUAGUGGCUUACCAAGGCUUUGACGGGUAGCCGGCCUGAGAGGGUGACAGGCCACAUAGGGAGUGAGAUACGGCCCAAGCUCCUACGGGAGGCAGCAGUGGGAAAUAUUGCAGAAUGGGCCGAAGCGUGAAGCAGAAACGCCGCGUGAGAGAUGACGGACUUCGGGUUGUAAACCGCUUUCGCCUGUGACGAAGCGUAAGUGAGGGUAAUGGGUAAAGAAGCACCGAGUAACUACGU
This 467-nucleotide ribosomal RNA is filed under the name uncultured bacterium. RNAcentral describes it as "partial 16S ribosomal RNA". It matches the Rfam family "Bacterial small subunit ribosomal RNA", at positions 28 to 506 of the family's 1533-position model. The record is from RNAcentral.